This 816-nucleotide ribosomal RNA is filed under the name Rosellinia australiensis. RNAcentral's name for it is "eukaryotic LSU rRNA". It matches the Rfam family "Eukaryotic large subunit ribosomal RNA", at positions 86 to 929 of the family's 3401-position model. Lineage: Eukaryota; Fungi; Ascomycota; Sordariomycetes; Xylariales; Xylariaceae. The record is from RNAcentral.
ACGGCGAGUGAAGCGGCAACAGCUCAAAUUUGAAAUCUGGCCCUCGGGUCCGAGUUGUAAUUUGUAGAGGAUGCUUUUGGCGCGGUGCCUUCCGAGUUCCCUGGAACGGGACGCCUUAGAGGGUGAGAGCCCCGUACGGUUGGACACCAAGCCUCUGUAAAGCUCCUUCGACGAGUCGAGUAGUUUGGGAAUGCUGCUCUAAAUGGGAGGUAAAUUUCUUCUAAAGCUAAAUAUUGGCCAGAGACCGAUAGCGCACAAGUAGAGUGAUCGAAAGAUGAAAAGCACUUUGAAAAGAGGGUUAAACAGCACGUGAAAUUGUUGAAAGGGAAGCGUUUGCGACCAGACCUCUCCCCGGCGGAUCAUCCGGCGUUCUCGCCGGUGCACUUCGCCGGGCUGAGGCCAGCAUCGGUUUCCGCGGGGGGACAAAAGCGGGGGGAACGUAGCUCCCUCGGGAGUGUUAUAGCCCUCCGCAUAAUACCCUCGCGGGGACCGAGGACCGCGCUUCGGCAAGGAUGCUGGCGUAAUGGUCGUCAACGACCCGUCUUGAAACACGGACCAAGGAGUCGAACAUUUGUGCGAGUGUUUGGGUGUCAAACCCUCACGCGUAAUGAAGGUGAACGUAGGUGAGAGCCUUCACGGGCGCAUCAUCGACCGAUCCUGAUGUCUUCGGAUGGAUUUGAGUAAGAGCAUAACUGUUCGGACCCGAAAGAUGGUGAACUAUGCGUGGAUAGGGUGAAGCCAGAGGAAACUCUGGUGGAGGCUCGCAGCGGUUCUGACGUGCAAAUCGAUCGUCAAAUCUGCGCAUGGGGGCGAAAG